AGGGAAAUCCAAGACUUCCGGUGCCGGGGAUGCCCGAAGACUUUGGUAAAUGGCCUUUUGAUAGUAUUCGAUGUUGAUUGUCAUGAUUUCACAACACUUCUCCGUGCUCCACAACAUUACUAUCAAUUGUGGGGUUGGGGAAGUUGUGGAGAGUGCUGAUAUGCAUUUUUAUUUUCCAGCUUGACUAUGGGUUAGAUUGCACAAAGCCACAGGAUGAAGUCACCGGUUCUGUCGUCACAACAGUCUUAAGAAGAGCAGACUGUGUUGGCCUGGGAACCAAAUGUGAACUGGAGGCAACAGUUGCAAACUGCUGUCUUUCACUGAUAUGCCUCCUAGCUGGACAGAGGGGAUUAGAUGUCCUUGCUAUGGAUUCCUAUGUAUUGGCAUGUUGGAGUCCACCUCAUUGCGUAGACCCUUUUGAAUCACUACCAGCAGAUGCAGCAUUUAAAGGCUGCAUCCUAUUUACAAUAUGGACACCAGGACAUUGGCACUUGUGUGUAGGUUUUGACUGUCAGUUGUUUCAUCUUUUAGCAUUUUAAAUAGGUGUUGAAAAUAGAUAUGGUGCAGGUUUUUUUUUUUUGUCUGCAGGGAUGAAUAUUCAUCUGAGGGAUGAAUAUUUCAACGUGGAAUAUACAAGAGCAAUGCAUUGGUCGGUGAACAUUUGAUUGAUUUGCAUAUAUUCACAGGUCAUGAAGCCCAAUCUUAAAAGGAUUUACAUUCUUGAUUCAUCCGACCCUUGUGGUUUUGGGCAGGCGUAUUAUGUGUCCAUUUUCAGGUUUUCUUCUAAUAUUCAGGGACUGUUCUUUGUCCCCUGUUCUGUGCGAGGUUUGGGACUGUUCUUUGUCCCCUGUUCUGUGCGAAGUUUUUGGAGGUAUUAACUGCUGUUUACUGUACUUUUUAAUGUUAGGGUGAGGGUAAUGAUGUGAUGGUCCUUGCUUAAAAGAUCCAACACUAUCUCUGUCAUAAAGACUGAGACUGGUUUAUUUACAAAUGUGGCCAUUCUCACAUUCCAAUUUAAUAUUCCUCCUACGCCCAAAUCUGUUGAAAUUCAGUAGUUAGCACUAGGCAGGUUAUAUAAAGAUUGGGUUUAGGGCUAGUCAACCAAUGUAAGAAUGGCAUGUAAAAGUUGAAUCAGGAUGUAUGUGGAAGUGAAGACCAUCUCUGAGCUUUUUCUUUUCUUUUUCUUUUUUAUUGUUUGCCUUCAUGUGUAUGCUUUCCCUCCAUGACAGUAGACAACACGUGUCAAACUUGCUACUGAAACCCAAUUAGCAGGUUCUCAGAAUCAGACCUAUAGAGGUGGAUUGUACAUUUAAAAAUGUUUUUAACUGUGUCUCUGUUCUCUUUUGAAGCAUGAUCGCAACAAAAUUGGUUGCUGGAAACUGGCAUCUUAUUAAAAACAAGGUACAUAGCACUCAGCUUUCAACACUGCUUUCUGAUAACUGCAAUCAAUACAAAAUUUAUAUAGUAAAUUUUGUAUUUUUGCCAGGAUAUUCCAUCACAGAGAGACAGCUUGGACUGUGGAGUGUUCAUGCUAAUGGUAUGUUACAAAUGAAGAUGAAAGUUAACCUUAGCUGACUUUGGGGAUUCCAUUAGUGGCAUUUCAAAGGCAAUAGGUAUAUGAAGAGUAUUUAAGGGAUAAGUAUCUUAAAAUCAAUGUCUUAUGUUACAGUAUGCACUAUACAUUACUUUUGAGUGGCCUUUUGAUUUCACCCAGGUGAGAGCCUUGAAUUUAUAAAAAAAAUUAGUUGAUGGCUCUUUCAGUCUGCCUCAGUUUUUGAUGUUUUUGUUUUUUUUGUUCUUUCCAUAGAUCGACAUGCCUUACAUUCGUGAGUGCUGGCUGAACUUAGUGUUAAAGUGCAUGAGCCAUGAAAGGUGAGAAACAGAUUUGCAAAACAAUGCUGUCUUUCCAAAGUUUUAACUCUCUUUGUUUUAUUUCUGACACCAUUAACUGUGUUAUAGGGAAGCCUCAAGCCUCAAGGAAGACCAAAUGAGCUUCAUGAACGGUUGUCUCAAGGAACAUGGGAUUAUUGCGGUAUAAUGUCUCAGUCACUACCAAUUGUACAUUUUAGAAAUUUUAACUCUCAGCCAGUGUUAUGUAAGUUACUCUUAAAAAAAUAAUAAUUCAUUACUAGUUUCUAAUUGCAUCAGUGUAGAUUACUGUACAAAUUACUUUCUCCAAAAAGUAUUAAAUUUCUUAUUACUAAUUACUUUCUAAAUCCUAUAUCAACCUGGACAAGUUAAUGAUACAAGGAUAGACAUGAAAUGUUUCUUUUAAUUCUUUCAAGUAACUACAUAAAUUAUUCUGUUCACACUUUAGAUUAGGGUCCAAUUCUCACUAUUAACUAUUUUGCCCCAAUGUACUCCUAAUUACUGCUUAGUAAUACUUAGUAAAGUAGUUGUUAAGUUUAAGAAUUGGUUAGGAUUAAGUAUUUAGAGUAAGGUCUUGAAGAAUAAGACAUUAAUAUGUGCUUUUUAAGUAAUAAUAAACAGGCAAUAUCCCAGCA
This is a long non-coding RNA of Cyprinus carpio (common carp), 2504 nucleotides long. Lineage: Eukaryota; Metazoa; Chordata; Actinopteri; Cypriniformes; Cyprinidae. The record is from Ensembl.